GGUAGCGGCUGAGAGGGNGNCCGGCCACACUGGGACUGAGANACGGCCCAGACUCCUACGGGAGGCAGCAGUGGGGAAUAUUGCRCAAUGGGCGNAAGCCUGANGCAGCRACGCCGCGUGNGGGAUGACGGCCUUCGGGUUGUAAACCUCUUUCAGNAGGGACGAAGCNNAAGUGACGGUACCUGCAGAANAAGCACCGGCUAACUACGUGCCAGCAGCCGCGGUAAUACGUAGGGUGCNAGCGUUGUCCGGAUUUAUUGGGCGUAAAGAGCUCGUAGGCGGUUUGUCNCGUCGGANGUGAAAUCCCNGAGCUUAACUCCGGGCCUGCNUUCGAUACGGGCUGACU
RNAcentral lists this ribosomal RNA (346 nucleotides) under uncultured bacterium. Its description in RNAcentral is "partial 16S ribosomal RNA". It matches the Rfam family "Bacterial small subunit ribosomal RNA", at positions 282 to 642 of the family's 1533-position model. The record is from RNAcentral.